This 744-nucleotide ribosomal RNA is filed under the name uncultured bacterium. RNAcentral describes it as "bacterial SSU rRNA". It matches the Rfam family "Bacterial small subunit ribosomal RNA", at positions 8 to 796 of the family's 1533-position model. The record is from RNAcentral.
AGAGUUUGAUCAUGGCUCAGAACGAACGCUGGCGGCAGGCUUAACACAUGCAAGUCGAACGCUUGUAGCAAUACAAGAGUGGCGCACGGGUGAGUAACACGUGGGAACAUGCCCUAGAGUCAAGAAUAACUACGGGAAACUGUAGCUAAUACUUGAUAUUCCCUUCGGGGGAAAGAUUUAUCGCUCUAGGAUUGGCCCGCGCAAGAUUAGGUAGUUGGUGGGGUAAUGGCCUACCAAGCCUACGAUCUUUAGCUGGUCUGAGAGGACGACCAGCCACACUGGAACUGAGACACGGUCCAGACUCCUACGGGAGGCAGCAGUGGGGAAUAUUGGACAAUGGGGGCAACCCUGAUCCAGCCAUGCCGCGUGAAUGAUGAAGGCCUUAGGGUUGUAAAGUUCUUUUGGCGGGGAAGAUAUUGACGGUACCCGCAGAAUAAGCACCGGCUAACUUCGUGCCAGCAGCCGCGGUAAUACGAAGGGUGCUAGCGUUGUUCGGAAUCACUGGGCGUAAAGCGCGCGUAGGCGGCUUUUCAAGUCAGGGGUGAAAUCCCACAGCUUAACUGUGGAACUGCCUUUGAAACUGUAAAGCUGGAAUGCAAGAGGGGAUAGCGGAAUUGCUAAUGUAGAGGUGAAAUUCGUAGAUAUUAGCAGGAACACCGGUGGCGAAGGCGGCUAUCUGGAUUGCAAUUGACGCUGAGGCGCGAAAGCAUGGGGAUCAAACAGGAUUAGAUACCCUAGUAGUCC